RNAcentral lists this ribosomal RNA (433 nucleotides) under uncultured bacterium. RNAcentral's name for it is "partial 16S ribosomal RNA". It matches the Rfam family "Bacterial small subunit ribosomal RNA", at positions 29 to 507 of the family's 1533-position model. The record is from RNAcentral.
AGCGAACGCUGGCGGCAGGCCUAACACAUGCAAGUCGAACGAACCUUUCGGGGUUAGUGGCGGACGGGUGAGUAACACGUGGGAACGUGCCUUUAGGUUCGGAAUAACUCAGGGAAACUUGUGCUAAUACCGAAUGUGCCCUUCGGGGGAAAGAUCUAUCGCCUUUAGAGCGGCCCGCGUCUGAUUAGCUAGUUGGUUGAGGUAAUGGCUCACCAAGGCGACGAUCAGUAGCUGGUCUGAGAGGAUGAUCAGCCACAUUGGGACUGAGACACGGCCCAAACUCCUACGGGAGCAGCAGUGGGGAAUCUUGCGCAAUGGGCGAAAGCCUGACGCAGCCAUGCCGCGUGAAUGAUGAAGGUCUUAGGAUUGUAAAAUUCUUUCACCGGGGACGAUAAUGACGGUACCCGGAGAAGAAGCCCCGGCUAACUUCGUG